UACAGAGGUCCCAAGCGUUGUUCGGAUUCACUGGGCGUAAAGGGUGCGUAGGCGGUCGGGUAAGUCUGAUGUGAAAUCUCACAGCUUAACUGUGAAACUGCAUUGGAUACAAUCCGGCUAGAGGAAUGGAGGGGAGACUGGAAUACUUGGUGUAGCAGUGAAAUGCGUAGAUAUCAAGUGGAACACCAGUGGCGAAGGCGAGUCUCUGGACAUUUCCUGACGCUGAGGCACGAAAGCCAGGGGAGCAAACGGG
This 253-nucleotide ribosomal RNA is filed under the name uncultured bacterium. RNAcentral's name for it is "partial 16S ribosomal RNA". It matches the Rfam family "Bacterial small subunit ribosomal RNA", at positions 524 to 776 of the family's 1533-position model. The record is from RNAcentral.